AUUCAUCAAUUCAAUGCAUUAUAAAUUAAAUUGAUAUAAGAGAUUAAGGUGUAAAUGAAACCAUUAAAUUAAGGCUAUUUAUUGGUUUACUUUUAGGUUUAAGCUCGGUAGAUUUUAUAUGUUGCUUUUCUUUUUUUGGUAUAUAUUGAUAGAUGGUGCAGAUACUUCUAUUCUUUUUCUCGUGAAAACUUGAAUAAGUUGGUUACAUUCAUAUCUUUGUGCAACAUAAGUAGUGAAAAAACGGAAUUAAGAUGUUUGAUGACGUGGGGAACAUUUCUUAUAAGUUUGAGUUGUUACAUGUGGUUUUGAUCAAUGUUUACUGACUUUUAUCACCAUCUUGCAAUUGCUAGCUGAACUUGCUCAGUUUGUAUUUCAUCCUGGUGUUGAUAUUAAGUUGGCACAAACUAAAAUUUCUUGCAACUGUAAUGCCUCUAUUUUGGUUGCUGCGUUUUGCAAAAUAAUUUACACUUUUAAGCUUGGAUUAUUUAUGCAGAAGAGAGUACUUGUUGCAUUAGAAGAAGCUGGGGUAUUCACUUUUGGUGGUUUGGUUAAGGACAAGGUUCUCUUCUGUAGCACAUGUUAUCACCUAAUUAUUACCUACAUGUUAUCACCUACUAGUGGAAGCAUCAUAAGUGACAUGGUUAGAGGAGACUCAGCCGCCAGAGAACUUGAUGGUUAAGAAAGGGCAGUGCAUGGGCCCUACUAUAAGAAGAUGUUGACGACGGAGAUAAAUAUAACUAGUUUGCAAAGUUUUUGUUUUUUUUUUUUUUUGCAGGACUGUGUGUUUGGUUUCAAAUAGAGCUUGUAAUGAUUUGUACGAUCUAAGGGAAGGAAGUUUCAUAGGGCUAGAGGGAACAAUAAAGGACUUAGGGUUUAAGUUC
Arachis ipaensis is the source of this 881-nucleotide non-coding RNA. The record is from RefSeq and is a predicted model, not a curated record. NCBI's taxonomy places the organism in Eukaryota, Viridiplantae, Streptophyta, Magnoliopsida, Fabales, Fabaceae.